UUCUACGGCCACACCACCCUGAACAAGCCCAAUCCUGUCUGAUCUCGGAAGCUAAGCAAGGUCGGGCCUGGUUAGUACUUGGAUGGGAGACCACCUAGGAAGACCAGGUGCUGUAGGCG
This 119-nucleotide ribosomal RNA is filed under the name Pteropus alecto (black flying fox). The record is from RNAcentral. Lineage: Eukaryota; Metazoa; Chordata; Mammalia; Chiroptera; Pteropodidae. RNAcentral also lists the same sequence under 1 other name.